This 253-nucleotide ribosomal RNA is filed under the name uncultured bacterium. Its description in RNAcentral is "partial 16S ribosomal RNA". It matches the Rfam family "Bacterial small subunit ribosomal RNA", at positions 524 to 776 of the family's 1533-position model. The record is from RNAcentral.
UACGUAGGGGGCGAGCGUUAUCCGGAAUCACUGGGCGUAAAGGGUGCGUAGGCGGGUUUUUAAGUCAGGGGUGAAAUCCUGGAGCUCAACUCCAGAACUGCCUUUGAUACUGAAGAUCUUGAGUCCGGGAGAGGUGAGUGGAACUGCGAGUGUAGAGGUGAAAUUCGUAGAUAUUCGCAAGAACACCAGUGGCGAAGGCGGCUCACUGGCCCGGUACUGACGCUGAGGCACGAAAGCGUGGGGAGCAAACAGG